AAUUUUUAUAACCGAUUUCAAGUUCUUUGACUACAUUUAAUCAGGGUUCAGGGUUGGACCUCUGCAGGUGUACCUAGUUGUUCUCAGAGAAGCAUUUCAUUCCCUUAUAGAGAAAACAUUAAACAAUAGAAUUGGUAAUGAUUCAAUGAGAGUAAUUCAUUUUAUAAAUUGCACAGAAAAAUAACAAAUAAAAAGACGAUAGGGGUCACAUGCCUUACUUACUAUUCAAUUUGUCCUGUAAAUUUUGAUACAAUUAUCUCC
RNAcentral lists this long non-coding RNA (261 nucleotides) under Mytilus galloprovincialis (Mediterranean mussel). Lineage: Eukaryota; Metazoa; Mollusca; Bivalvia; Mytilida; Mytilidae. The record is from RNAcentral.